This 2547-nucleotide ribosomal RNA is filed under the name Escherichia coli. RNAcentral describes it as "bacterial LSU rRNA". It matches the Rfam family "Bacterial large subunit ribosomal RNA", at positions 398 to 2925 of the family's 2925-position model. Lineage: Bacteria; Pseudomonadati; Pseudomonadota; Gammaproteobacteria; Enterobacterales; Enterobacteriaceae. The record is from RNAcentral.
UGUGAGCUCGAUGAGUAGGGCGGGACACGUGGUAUCCUGUCUGAAUAUGGGGGGACCAUCCUCCAAGGCUAAAUACUCCUGACUGACCGAUAGUGAACCAGUACCGUGAGGGAAAGGCGAAAAGAACCCCGGCGAGGGGAGUGAAAAAGAACCUGAAACCGUGUACGUACAAGCAGUGGGAGCACGCUUAGGCGUGUGACUGCGUACCUUUUGUAUAAUGGGUCAGCGACUUAUAUUCUGUAGCAAGGUUAACCGAAUAGGGGAGCCGAAGGGAAACCGAGUCUUAACUGGGCGUUAAGUUGCAGGGUAUAGACCCGAAACCCGGUGAUCUAGCCAUGGGCAGGUUGAAGGUUGGGUAACACUAACUGGAGGACCGAACCGACUAAUGUUGAAAAAUUAGCGGAUGACUUGUGGCUGGGGGUGAAAGGCCAAUCAAACCGGGAGAUAGCUGGUUCUCCCCGAAAGCUAUUUAGGUAGCGCCUCGUGAAUUCAUCUCCGGGGGUAGAGCACUGUUUCGGCAAGGGGGUCAUCCCGACUUACCAACCCGAUGCAAACUGCGAAUACCGGAGAAUGUUAUCACGGGAGACACACGGCGGGUGCUAACGUCCGUCGUGAAGAGGGAAACAACCCAGACCGCCAGCUAAGGUCCCAAAGUCAUGGUUAAGUGGGAAACGAUGUGGGAAGGCCCAGACAGCCAGGAUGUUGGCUUAGAAGCAGCCAUCAUUUAAAGAAAGCGUAAUAGCUCACUGGUCGAGUCGGCCUGCGCGGAAGAUGUAACGGGGCUAAACCAUGCACCGAAGCUGCGGCAGCGACGCUUAUGCGUUGUUGGGUAGGGGAGCGUUCUGUAAGCCUGUGAAGGUGUGCUGUGAGGCAUGCUGGAGGUAUCAGAAGUGCGAAUGCUGACAUAAGUAACGAUAAAGCGGGUGAAAAGCCCGCUCGCCGGAAGACCAAGGGUUCCUGUCCAACGUUAAUCGGGGCAGGGUGAGUCGACCCCUAAGGCGAGGCCGAAAGGCGUAGUCGAUGGGAAACAGGUUAAUAUUCCUGUACUUGGUGUUACUGCGAAGGGGGGACGGAGAAGGCUAUGUUGGCCGGGCGACGGUUGUCCCGGUUUAAGCGUGUAGGCUGGUUUUCCAGGCAAAUCCGGAAAAUCAAGGCUGAGGCGUGAUGACGAGGCACUACGGUGCUGAAGCAACAAAUGCCCUGCUUCCAGGAAAAGCCUCUAAGCAUCAGGUAACAUCAAAUCGUACCCCAAACCGACACAGGUGGUCAGGUAGAGAAUACCAAGGCGCUUGAGAGAACUCGGGUGAAGGAACUAGGCAAAAUGGUGCCGUAACUUCGGGAGAAGGCACGCUGAUAUGUAGGUGAAGCGACUUGCUCGUGGAGCUGAAAUCAGUCGAAGAUACCAGCUGGCUGCAACUGUUUAUUAAAAACACAGCACUGUGCAAACACGAAAGUGGACGUAUACGGUGUGACGCCUGCCCGGUGCCGGAAGGUUAAUUGAUGGGGUCAGCGCAAGCGAAGCUCUUGAUCGAAGCCCCGGUAAACGGCGGCCGUAACUAUAACGGUCCUAAGGUAGCGAAAUUCCUUGUCGGGUAAGUUCCGACCUGCACGAAUGGCGUAAUGAUGGCCAGGCUGUCUCCACCCGAGACUCAGUGAAAUUGAACUCGCUGUGAAGAUGCAGUGUACCCGCGGCAAGACGGAAAGACCCCGUGAACCUUUACUAUAGCUUGACACUGAACAUUGAGCCUUGAUGUGUAGGAUAGGUGGGAGGCUUAGAAGUGUGGACGCCAGUCUGCAUGGAGCCGACCUUGAAAUACCACCCUUUAAUGUUUGAUGUUCUAACGUUGACCCGUAAUCCGGGUUGCGGACAGUGUCUGGUGGGUAGUUUGACUGGGGCGGUCUCCUCCUAAAGAGUAACGGAGGAGCACGAAGGUUGGCUAAUCCUGGUCGGACAUCAGGAGGUUAGUGCAAUGGCAUAAGCCAGCUUGACUGCGAGCGUGACGGCGCGAGCAGGUGCGAAAGCAGGUCAUAGUGAUCCGGUGGUUCUGAAUGGAAGGGCCAUCGCUCAACGGAUAAAAGGUACUCCGGGGAUAACAGGCUGAUACCGCCCAAGAGUUCAUAUCGACGGCGGUGUUUGGCACCUCGAUGUCGGCUCAUCACAUCCUGGGGCUGAAGUAGGUCCCAAGGGUAUGGCUGUUCGCCAUUUAAAGUGGUACGCGAGCUGGGUUUAGAACGUCGUGAGACAGUUCGGUCCCUAUCUGCCGUGGGCGCUGGAGAACUGAGGGGGGCUGCUCCUAGUACGAGAGGACCGGAGUGGACGCAUCACUGGUGUUCGGGUUGUCAUGCCAAUGGCACUGCCCGGUAGCUAAAUGCGGAAGAGAUAAGUGCUGAAAGCAUCUAAGCACGAAACUUGCCCCGAGAUGAGUUCUCCCUGACCCUUUAAGGGUCCUGAAGGAACGUUGAAGACGACGACGUUGAUAGGCCGGGUGUGUAAGCGCAGCGAUGCGUUGAGCUAACCGGUACUAAUGAACCGUGAGGCUUAACCUU